This is a non-coding RNA of Pelobates cultripes (western spadefoot toad), 790 nucleotides long. The record is from the annotation of a GenBank genome assembly. NCBI's taxonomy places the organism in Eukaryota, Metazoa, Chordata, Amphibia, Anura, Pelobatidae.
GGGGGAACGACGGCGAUCGGGUAAGUACAUUUUACCGUUAGGACGGUUCAGGACUGUCAGCGGUCCGCAAUGCAAAAAUGCCAAUGAUUGUCCUGAACUGUCCUCUGUCCUUAAGGGGUUAAACCCCUCCAAACAACUUGUGGUGAUAUAGGGGAUGUUGGAUUGUAGUGUUGAUGACUUUCUGACCCCAAGCCUCAACGUCUGCAAUUUUCCAGCUGUGAUCCUUGGAAAUGUUUUGACCAUCAAACGAUCCUCUUCACAGUGUGUUGAGACAAUAUAGAAACAUGCCGUCAUACAUAAUGCAUAACAUUUCCUGUAGCCUGGAACAUCAUUAAUGCCCAGAUGGUGGAAAUAGGCACAACUUUUUGCACGCAUCACAGCAAUAUUGCUUGGUCUUACCCAUUGUGAUGAAUGACUAAGGGAAUUUGACUUAUGUGUUACCUUAUAUUAAUACCUAUGUGAAACAGGAAGUCAUGGUUGAACAAUUUCCUGUUCCUAGGCAUAUAAUUAAAAUAUAUUUUUCUCAUAUGAAUUCAUAUUGAUCCACACACAAAAGGUUAGACAACAAAGAUAUAUUUUGCACAGUCUUCUUUGCUAAUGGGUGUUGACCUUAAUAAACCCUGACUUUUUAGAGUGUAUAGAUUUGUAAUAAAGUACACGGUAAAAUUAGAAAUUGUAAUUACUUCUGAAAAGGCAGUACAUAAGGGCCAUUAACAUCCCAGGAGAUCAUACUUAAAGGGGGUCUAUUCACCAAACUAAGUUGUUGCUUCAAACUACUACAGUGGCAAUG